RNAcentral lists this ribosomal RNA (1799 nucleotides) under Salmonella enterica subsp. enterica serovar Typhimurium. RNAcentral's name for it is "partial 23S ribosomal RNA". It matches the Rfam family "Bacterial large subunit ribosomal RNA", at positions 1105 to 2802 of the family's 2925-position model. Lineage: Bacteria; Pseudomonadati; Pseudomonadota; Gammaproteobacteria; Enterobacterales; Enterobacteriaceae. The record is from RNAcentral.
CUUAGAAGCAGCCAUCAUUUAAAGAAAGCGUAAUAGCUCACUGGUCGAGUCGGCCUGCGCGGAAGAUGUAACGGGGCUAAACCAUGCACCGAAGCUGCGGCAGCGAACGUAUCACCCAAGACAACUUUACGGAGUUGACGAUUGACGGAGCGAAGCGACGUCAAAGCGUUCAUUAAAGUCGAGUUGGCUUAGGGAUACGUUCGUUGGGUAGGGGAGCGUUCUGUAAGCCUGUGAAGGUGUGUCGUGAGGCAUGCUGGAGGUAUCAGAAGUGCGAAUGCUGACAUAAGUAACGAUAAAGCGGGUGAAAAGCCCGCUCGCCGGAAGACCAAGGGUUCCUGUCCAACGUUAAUCGGGGCAGGGUGAGUCGACCCCUAAGGCGAGGCCGAAAGGCGUAGUCGAUGGGAAACGGGUUAAUAUUCCCGUACUUGGUGUUACUGCGAAGGGGGGACGGAGAAGGCUAUGUUGGCCGGGCGACGGUUGUCCCGGUUUAAGCGUGUAGGUGUGUGUUCCAGGUAAAUCCGGUUCACUUUAACACUGAGGCGUGACGACGAGGCACUACGGUGCUGAAGCAACAAAUGCCCUGCUUCCAGGAAAAGCCUCUAAGCAUCAGGUAACAUCAAAUCGUACCCCAAACCGACACAGGUGGUCAGGUAGAGAAUACCAAGGCGCUUGAGAGAACUCGGGUGAAGGAACUAGGCAAAAUGGUGCCGUAACUUCGGGAGAAGGCACGCUGACACGUAGGUGAAGUGAUUUACUCAUGGAGCUGAAGUCAGUCGAAGAUACCAGCUGGCUGCAACUGUUUAUUAAAAACACAGCACUGUGCAAACACGAAAGUGGACGUAUACGGUGUGACGCCUGCCCGGUGCCGGAAGGUUAAUUGAUGGGGUCAGCGCAAGCGAAGCUCCUGAUCGAAGCCCCGGUAAACGGCGGCCGUAACUAUAACGGUCCUAAGGUAGCGAAAUUCCUUGUCGGGUAAGUUCCGACCUGCACGAAUGGCGUAAUGAUGGCCAGGCUGUCUCCACCCGAGACUCAGUGAAAUUGAACUCGCUGUGAAGAUGCAGUGUACCCGCGGCAAGACGGAAAGACCCCGUGAACCUUUACUAUAGCUUGACACUGAACAUUGAGCCUUGAUGUGUAGGAUAGGUGGGAGGCUUUGAAGUGUGGACGCCAGUCUGCAUGGAGCCGACCUUGAAAUACCACCCUUUAAUGUUUGAUGUUCUAACGUGGACCCGUAAUCCGGGUUGCGGACAGUGUCUGGUGGGUAGUUUGACUGGGGCGGUCUCCUCCUAAAGAGUAACGGAGGAGCACGAAGGUUGGCUAAUCCUGGUCGGACAUCAGGAGGUUAGUGCAAUGGCAUAAGCCAGCUUGACUGCGAGCGUGACGGCGCGAGCAGGUGCGAAAGCAGGUCAUAGUGAUCCGGUGGUUCUGAAUGGAAGGGCCAUCGCUCAACGGAUAAAAGGUACUCCGGGGAUAACAGGCUGAUACCGCCCAAGAGUUCAUAUCGACGGCGGUGUUUGGCACCUCGAUGUCGGCUCAUCACAUCCUGGGGCUGAAGUAGGUCCCAAGGGUAUGGCUGUUCGCCAUUUAAAGUGGUACGCGAGCUGGGUUUAGAACGUCGUGAGACAGUUCGGUCCCUAUCUGCCGUGGGCGCUGGAGAACUGAGGGGGGCUGCUCCUAGUACGAGAGGACCGGAGUGGACGCAUCACUGGUGUUCGGGUUGUCAUGCCAAUGGCACUGCCCGGUAGCUAAAUGCGGAAGAGAUAAGUGCUGAAAGCAUCUAAGCACGAAACUUGCCCCGA